RNAcentral lists this ribosomal RNA (646 nucleotides) under uncultured fungus. RNAcentral describes it as "eukaryotic LSU rRNA". It matches the Rfam family "Eukaryotic large subunit ribosomal RNA", at positions 24 to 664 of the family's 3401-position model. Lineage: Eukaryota; Fungi. The record is from RNAcentral.
CCCGCUGAACUUAAGCAUAUCAAUAAGCGGAGGAAAAGAAACUAACAAGGAUUCCCUUAGUAACUGCGAGUGAAGAGGGAAAAGCUCAAAUUUAAAAUCUGGCAGUUAUUUGCUGGCCCAAUUGGAAAUGGGAGAAGUGGUAUCUGCGCUGGGCUGCGCGUAAGUCUCUUGUAAAAGAGCGUCACAUAGAGUGACAAUCUCGUCUCUGGGACACACUACCACGGCGCUUGUGAUGCGCUCUCUACGAGACGAGAUGUGUGUGAAUGCACCUCCCAAUGUGUGGGAAAUUCCAUCUCAAGCUAUAUAUAGUGGAGAGACAGAUAGUGCACAAGUACCGCGAGAGAAAGAUAAAAAGAACUUUGUAAAGAGAGAUAUACACUACACGAGAUUGUGGAGAGGGAAACGCUCGAGGUCAGACAUGUGUCAAUGAAAUCAACCUGUCACUUGUGUGGUGUACACUCUGUGGGACAUGUCACCAUCUCUUCUGAGAGCUGUGAAUAGGGCUUGUGAAUGUGACAUCUCUUCUAAGAUGUGUUAUAGCCCUCGGACCACAUAGCAGUGAUUGGGACUGAGGAACUCGAUGUGUGAAAUAACACAUUCAAGGAUGCUGGCAUAAUGGCUUUAAUCGACCCGUCUUGAAACACGG